Molecule: ribosomal RNA, 286 nt
Filed under: unidentified marine bacterioplankton
Lineage: Bacteria
Description: partial 16S ribosomal RNA
Rfam family: Bacterial small subunit ribosomal RNA
Source: RNAcentral
AAGUCGAGGGGUAAGGCUCACUUCGGUGAGUACACGACCGGCGCACGGGUGCGUAACGCGGUAUGCAACCUACCUUUAACAGAGGGAUAGCCCCGAGAAAAUCGGGAUUAAUACCACAUAAACACCACAUUUGUUUCAAUGACAGCGUGGUUAAAGCUCCGGCGGUUAAAGAUGGGCAUGCGUGACAUUAGCUAGUUGGUAAGGUAACGGCUUACCAAGGCUACGAUGUCUAGGGGUUCUGAGAGGAUGAUCCCCCACACUGGUACUGAGACACGGACCAGACUCC